CUUUAAAAUUGCAUCAACCUAAGGGAACCAGUUUUGCUCAGGUAAUUGUGGUGACAGGAAUGUGUUAGCCUCCGAAGCUUCUGAAUGUUCAAUCCUCAUACGGUAUAAGA
Cavia aperea (Brazilian guinea pig) is the source of this 110-nucleotide small nucleolar RNA. Lineage: Eukaryota; Metazoa; Chordata; Mammalia; Rodentia; Caviidae. The record is from Ensembl.